GCCAACGGCCAUACCACGUUGAACACACCAGUUCUCGUCCGAUCACUGAAGUUAAGCAACGUCGGGCCCGGUUAGUACUUGGAUUGGUGACCGCCUGGGAACCCCGGGUGCUGUUGGUA
RNAcentral lists this ribosomal RNA (119 nucleotides) under Orchesella cincta. Lineage: Eukaryota; Metazoa; Arthropoda; Collembola; Entomobryomorpha; Orchesellidae. The record is from RNAcentral.